RNAcentral lists this transfer RNA (73 nucleotides) under Micrococcus cohnii. RNAcentral describes it as "Micrococcus sp. WS4601 tRNA". It matches the Rfam family "tRNA". From Rfam's summary of the family: Transfer RNA (tRNA) molecules are approximately 80 nucleotides in length. Their secondary structure includes four short double-helical elements and three loops (D, anti-codon, and T loops). Lineage: Bacteria; Bacillati; Actinomycetota; Actinomycetes; Micrococcales; Micrococcaceae. The record is from Rfam by way of RNAcentral.
GCACCUCUAGCUCAACUGGCAGAGCAUCUGACUCUUAAUCAGCAGGUUCCGGGUUCGAGUCCCGGGGGGUGCA